AGGACGCGAAAAUCACUAGAUUUCAUUGUUCGUUUAGUUGUCAUAUAAACUGGGACGAAGACGUGUAAACUGGCGCGAAGCUGGGAUGACAUUUCGAGAAAAAAUGAAUUUAAAGAAGACAAAAAUUAACAAACCUAUGGAAAAAAUCAGACAGUGUCAGCGUUUGAAAAGCGUUUGAUUCUGCUAACGUGCAUCGUGCUACUAAAAAAAUCGACGAGAAACUGGAAACAAGAGUGAGGAGUACUCGUAAAAGUGAAGAAGAAUUAGAAAUUUGUGCACGAGGUCUCGAUAAAAAUUGUUCCUGUACUACAAUCGAAAAAGAUGAAUGAUAUUCUUUGUGUACAGCCGACGGGUAAUCUAAUUCCCGGUGAUAGUGACGUUACUUCUUAUCUACGCUUAAUCUAAUGAUCAAUUUUCUAUGAACACUCGACGAGAACAUUCGCAAAACUCACUUAUCUCGAAAAUUACUUAUCCAUUAUCGAAAAAAUCGAAUCGAAUCGAACUAAACUAAACUCCCAGCCAUCGAGAGUUCAACGAUAUCCUCACGAUGCAUCUGCGGCACGAUGUAUCGAGCGUGAAAGAGCCCCGGUUCGUUCGCACGUGCAGUUAACGUGCCGCAGUCAUAUUGGUCCGGAAGCGUGCGUGCGGUAUGUGCGUACGAUUGAAGGAAACGUUGAACGUAUUCGCGGCACUCCGGUUCCGGCGUUCGGUUGUGCUCGUACGGCUUCGUUUGCAUAGAAGUGCGUGCGUAACCUAUGCCGGAGGCCACGUAAGGUGGUGUACACGGCAUUCGGAUCGUCCCGUCGCUUUGUUUACGCUCGUAUCGGGCCGAUGAUCGAGCAUCGUGUACACACCGCUUCUUAUCCACCGCUGCGUUAUCCACCUUCGAAAUGGCGCGUGUCGCGUGACGAGAGCCUCCUCAGUCGGUUUUCGCGCGUGCAACGCUUCCGAUCGGACCGUCAGACGCGUGUCGACGAUCGUCGCCGUCGCCGUCGUCGCCUCCUACGUUCUCUCGAUCAUCCGACGGGAAAGAGCUGCGCUCACGUGCGCCUCUGUUCGACCACGGUACGUGCGUGUGUGUGUGCGCGCGUGUGUGUACACGUGUGUGUGUGUGUUCGUUGUGUCGCGUCGGUGGUCGUGGCACACGUGUGCCUCGUUGUCGGUUACGCGAAUCUAACCUCAUUGUGUGCAUUCGUCGUGAGAGUUUGCCGCGUGUGACCUCUUCCGUGACUAGGAAAAUGAGACGAUCCAGUGGUAACGCGUUCUGAGGAUCAUCGAGGAGGAGCGGCAACGGGCAACCAGCCUCGCAUCGAUCCGGUGAGUUGUCGAUUGUUCUCUUUCUCCCGAUUGUCUUUCGUCGGUACAACAUAGCGACAUUCCGAAAUUGUUAUUGCCAACUUUCUUCUCGUAUCGAAUACUAUCUUCGGCGUAUAUAUUAAAAAUGAAUAUUCGAAAAUACGCCAAUCAUUCAAUUUUCUUGGAAUAUUUUACUGAAAGGAGAGAUACGGUAGAGACGCGUGAAAGAGAAUGAAAACAAAGGAAAAAAGGAAAACAAGAGCGCGUCACCGCAGGGUUAAGGUCUGAUUCUAUCUAGUUUGGUUUGGUUUUCGCGUUUCCUGGAAUUAUCCUCGACCUGGCUCGAUUGUUUUGGAGCGUGAAAGGUGCGCAGCGGCCUUCGACUGCUCGUUGGAUAUCUGUGUCAGGUCGGCGGAAAUUCUUAUUUGCGUUGUUGGCCAAGGAAUGUCGUACUUUCCCGGGCAACCCGUGCGUUUUCGAUUUUACUCCCUCUCUCUCUCUCUCUCUCCCCCUCGCUUUUUUUUCUUUCCUCCGUCAAACGUUUGCCUUUUGUACGUUGUCUCUCGCGCGAAUGGCGACCACGUGUUUACGACUCGCUCGAUGAUCGUCGCCAUGUUUGGAAACUGCGUACAGUGUAGGCGAAUUAGAAUUAUCGUGAAGGGAUCGAUCGGUUUUUGUCCUCGUUACGUACGCGCAUCGAUAAUCGUCGUAUCGACGAGAAUCAGGAUCGUCGUUAUUUUAUGUAACUUGUGCUGUAAGGUUAUAUAGAGAGAUAGAGUAGGCUGGCAGCGGAAGUACAGGCUGCUGAUAGCGGAACCCGAGGUGAAUAUGGAGUUGUUCGUGUGUACAUUCCGAUGGAAAAGUUAUCUCGAUGUCGCGAGAUAUAUUCGCGUGUUUUUUGAAUUGCGAUUUUUUUCCUUUUUCUUUUUUGAGAAUAUCUUGGAAUAUCUUAUCUUUAGGAAAUAAUACAAAUAAUCGAAGCUGUUUUUUUUUUUUUUACAGAUUUGAUUAAUAAUUAAUUCAAGGGAAAUUCUGUACAGUGGUUACAGAAAAUAUUUGCGCAACGUUAUAUUUAUCAAAGAGAUAUACGGUUGUAUCUUGUAUUGUUUACACGAUAUGAUAAUUUGUCGAAAAUGAAAUAUAGAAUCUGGUAAAUAGAACGGGUUUAUUGAAAAAUAAGCUGCCCCUAAAAUAUCGUGUCAUAAAGAUAGAAAUCUAGAGCAAGUUGUAAAUUUGUUAAAAUUAACCAAGUUGCAAAACGCUUGUAUUUCUCGUAAUUUACGUGAUCCUCGUGAAAGGAAACAAAUCAAAAUCAAAAUAACUCAAUAAUCAUUGGCUAUUUUUAAAAUUUGUUUAUUAUUACUUUAAGAAUCACAAGCGCCUACUGUUAGAAGAUUGCAGAAAGAUCUCCGCACAAAGCAUUUUACUAUGUUUGCAUCUUCAACAACAUAAUUCACUAAAAUCUGAUCAUCAAUCUCCUAUAAUUCUUCCUAGCAAACUUUUCAAUCUGAACAAUGUUAUUAUAAGUUGUCCAUCACGGAUCCAUUUAAUCUUUCACAUUUAGCCCGGUCGAAACUUAUAUAAACUCUAAAAGAUUAAUCUAACGAUCGGAUCAAGCACCACUCGAGACAUACUCUUGAUUUAUUCCUAGAGUCGAAAUCUUAACCGAGGCCUUAAUUUUAUCGCAUCGAUUUAUUCACGUCGAAACGCAAAUAUAAAAAGAACGAUAUAUAUAUAUAUAUAUUUAAAUUUUGCACAAACUUUCGCAAUCCAAUGACUUGGACAACAAAAUAUAUCGAAGUUUAACGAUCCAAGAAUUAUUAGAGAAGGAUUAAAAAAAAAAAGACAAUUUACUUUUCGCUUUUUCCCUUUUUCUCACAGAAUUAACCCCGCAUACCGCAAGGAUAGCCAUCAUUCGCCUCGACAAUCGUGGGGCGAUUCGAUUAACGUCUCGAGGCCGAUCCCUUAACGAUUCUCGUUCGGAUCGGACGAUCGCGUCCCACCAAGAUUUUCCAACAAGCAUCGAUACCCUUUCUCGCUCGAUUCCCGGAGAGGCGUAAAAUCUAGACCGAUACUCUAUCGUUCUAGACGUGUAUCGUGGAAAGAUAAGAUAGCGGGUUCCCUCGGUUAUCGACUCGGUUACACUUAGUUCACCUGCGUCCUAGGCACUCUUAUCUCGCCGUUUUAUCGGUGACCCCUGGCUCCGUGCACGGCCGGCCAAGAUAUCGGUCGUGGAACGUCCCCUGCCGCGAUACCCGUCGCUAUAAUGUCUACAUCGGAAUGGUGAACAACACAGGGACGACCCACCUACCUUCCAGCGUCCGCUCGUUCCAAUUUCCAGGAUUGGCUCUCUCUCUGUCCUCGUCCGUCCCUCUUUCACCUACCUUCUCGCCACUCGGUCUUAUUCGCAUUCCCCGCCAUGCAGAUCUUACCUUUCCACCGGUGUGCGUUCCUCUGCUCGCCACCCCGAGCCACCAACAGUCGCCUCUCUAUUUCUCUCUCUCCCUCUCUCCCUCUCUCCUUCUCUCGUUCCACCGAAGAUGCGAUCUUGUCCACCGACGACCACGCCUUCACGGUGUACACGGAGCGUGCAGAGAGAGCGUGCGUCGAUCUCGUUUCGAGAGGAGACCGGCGUGUGUCGUUCCUUCUUAUUUCACCCGGAGACGAGAGAAGCGGGGGAAGGGGAAAGAAGAAGAAGAAGAAGAAAGGAAAAAAAAGAGGAGAGGAGAGGAAGGAGAAGAAAGAAGGAGAAAGAGAGAGAAAGAGAGAGUAUCGAGCACACUACGGGUGUAUAAACCUGAAGAGCCGCGUGGCGCGAGUUUGAUGAUGAUGAUGGUGGUGGUAGUUGUGGAGAGCUAUCGCCCCGGUCACAAGGCGACACUUUUGCAAGGUAAAUCUCGUUUCGUCGUGCGGUUCUCUUCUUCUUCUAUUUAGUGGACGGACUUCCGUCACUAGGGGACGUUCCUCGUCGUGGUUCGAUGCGCCGCAAAAAAUCGGCUGCGCUCGGCUGGAACGUCAUAACCGCGUGCACAGGCUUAUACAGGCUGAUAUCUCAGGUUUGAUAUUUGAUUCACGUAUAUAUCACGCUGGCAGAUGAAGAAAGAUGGAAUCGACGAGUGAAUGUAAUUCACAUUUCGAUACUUUUUCUUGAAAUAUCAAAAAAUCUUCAACGACCGUAUUCAAGCAAAAUGAUCUAUCUUCUUUUCCACCUCGAAAGAUGGAAUUAAUAAGAGAGAACAAGGAAAUUCGUGAAUCCGGAUUGGUUAUUUCGAUGUCCGUUGCGCGACAGGUGCAUCCUCGCUCUCUCGCGAUGGUUUCAGAGCUGGUGGCUGCCUCCGCUCGAUUUUACGGUAACAUUGAUAAUUUACGAUCACGGCGGAUGGAAAAGCCGCGGGACCGUGGAACGAGCAAUCUCCAUGCUUUGCUGCCGUGAGCCAGGAAAGCUUUAUCGGCCGUCGCGUCUCUUAUCCCGGUGCGUCAUUACCUUGAUAGCAGCGUGCGUGCAGCUCGAAAAAAAAAGCUUAUCGCUUAUCCUCUUCCAGGAAAUACGGCGAACACGGCGAUACCGCAGGGAAAUCGAAUCGUAUCUCGAUGAUUGCCUCAUACCUGGCGCUAAACCGAUUUUUUUCUCUUCCUCUCGUAACAUUUCUUUGUUUUUUUAUUUUUCCUUUUUUUUACUUGGAUCUUUCCUAUCCUCUUUUUCCUUUUUCUUUUCUUUUCCCUUUUAUUUUCUUUUCUUUUUUUUCGAUCAACCAUAUCGCUCGUGUAUCGAUAUCGCGUCGCGGAAUUCAGAGAAAAGAUCGGCAGUUUGUUUGCUAUGCACUCGAAUGUCGCUGAUGGCGCGGCGACGAUUCCGUUCGCGGGAUAGAUAAAGUUGGCUCGCGACCUUUCGACCGUGUUGCGAGCGUGAUAAAACGUAAUCGGUCAUCGGGUCGUUGUAGAUGAAAUCCCGCGAUAAGGGAGAAAUUUGUCGGCUGAUGGAAUUAAAGAUUGAAUUUUGUUUACGAUUCGUCGUGGUAUUUAUUUAUCUUUCUUCUUUUUACCCCGGUGUAGGAAGGUUUUUAAAAAGAAAUUUCGAUCUUGAGUACACGCGAAGCAGGCAAUUUCUAUCAUAUUUCAUCGGCGUUGAUCUCUCUAACACAUUUUCUUCGCGCGUAAAAUCUUCUUCGCGGUAAUAAUAUAUAUACACCAAAUUGUAAAGAAUCGUUCAAUAGGAUUUUCGAUCGAAAAGAAAACGGAUCGAGGUGAUCAUAAAUCACAGCGAUGGAAUUCCCUUCACGGAAUUCAUAACUCAUAAGUGAAGAGAACGUAUUUUGCUCACCAUAUAUAUAUAUAUAUAAUCAUCGGUUUAUAAGUACUGAAAAUCAUUUCCACGUAUAAAAUUUUCUUAUCUCGCUUCCUGUCGCUCGAAAAUUUCCAUUAUUCCUAAUGAAUCGCCAUUACCUUUCCAAAGUAUUCCAAGAUCUCCGGUCAGGAAGGAAAGAAAAAAAAAACAAAAGGAAAAAACCCAUCCAAUUUAUCCCCAAACUUCUACAUUAGCCGAAAAAGGCCAAGGGUUUCACCCAAGCCCCUGAAUCAAAAAAUUCAAUGAAUGAACACCGUUUCGACCCCCUUGUUCGUGCCCCGGCCCCAUUACGCGGUGGCUAAUAGAAACGCUUAACAUUCUCGUCGGGUAUUAAGAUAUCGACCAGGUCUCUCAUUAUGCGUCAUACGAUGGCGCCUAAUAUCACGGUGCACGAUCUCAUCGCUCUGGCCCCUCUCUCGCCCCGUCCAACACUUUUCGUACACCAGGUUUCUGGCUACCUUCUCCGUGUACCCUUCGUUGAUAGUCACCAAGUCGAGGCCCGGGUUUCUCGACUCGACUCGGCAAAGUCGAGGGGAGAGACAGGGGUGUGCGGCGGGUUGUAUAUGUGUACGGUUUGGCCGGCGAACAAGAGGGGCAGGUGGAAAGGUUUGUGCAACCUGUUGCUCCGUUCAGAGGAACGUAGGUAGGAUGAGAGUCGUUCUUGGUUGUGGGAUCGGCAUGAGACGCCGGAGCGGAGAAACGUUGUGCCCCUUGGGGUAUAGCAAUCACAAUGGGGCGAGUCUUCUUCUCUUGGUGAUGUACGUCGCUUUCUUGCCUUCUCUUCUUCUUCUUCUUCUUCUUCUUCUUCUCCCUGGUGGAUACGUACUUCUUCUUCUACUAGUAGUACUACCCGUGCUUCUUAUUCGAGCGCGUUGUCUUCUUUCUUGCUCUUCUCGUUCCUCGCUGUUCUUCUUCUCCUUCUUCUUGGACAUAGUGCCCCCGGGACACGAUCCCGAUCUGACGCGAUUUGCAUAAUUCCAGUAUCCCCGCCCAGCCGUUCAGCUGCUCAAUUAUUAGCUGGAAUUUAAGACGUGUUUAAGAAAAUAGCAGCUCGACCCGGCUGCUUUUUGCUUCUGCCGAUUCGAGUGGCUUCUCUUCCUUGCUCGCGGUCACGCCCUGUUCUCCAUACGUCCUCUUGAAACUCGUUGAAAGUGAAUCUUCGCUCUUCUUUUUCAUAAACUCGUUAAUAAAACGGUAACAAGUAAUCGUCGCAUCGUAUUUUCCUUUGCGAUUGAGAAACGAUACUUAUUGCCAAAUACUUUCGAACUCAACGUCUUCAUCUUCGAUCACAUAACCUAAAAAACCGUUACUCUAUUCGUCGAAAGAAAAAACCUGUCGAAGAAACGCAAACAAAGUUGUUGCAUUGAUAUUAUUAUUAUUAUUAUUAUAUUCCAAUUGCGAAUGAAAAAUAAAAAAAAAGAGAAGAAAAAAGAAAGAAAAAGGCAACCGGUGCGGGAAGUUUUACAUUCCUUCUCUCUGGUUUUACGAGUCCGUUCUGCGUUAGAUCGAACGAUAGCAGUGGAGCUGGCCAGAGUGAUACUUGGCCGUGGCGUUGAAUCAUUAUUAGGCCCAGACAACACUUGCCGUCAGCGGUGAAACGAGGCGAUACUCGUACACCGUUAUCACUGUUACACCGUUUUAUCAGCGGUGCGAUAUGGUAACGAGGUCUGUACCUACGGAUGUCUGUUGUGGUUUUUGCGCUCCACAUCUCGGACGUUUGUUGCUUGUUCGUUGAUUAAAACGUUUACGCUUCGUUUCACUCGCUGCAAUUGUGCACUCUCUGCAGCCGAUCGGCCAAAACAUGAAAUUCUUGCAAAUACCAACGGAAUUAUUGUUCCUCCACUUUUUACUCUUCAUCGUCAAUUUACUCGUACGAGUCAAUUAUUGUCUUCCAGGGAUUUAAUUAUUACGUUUUUUAAGGCGGAGGGAAAUUUUAAUCAAAGUUGAGAUUAAGAAUUUAAUUUAAAUUAGCUCGAUGAUUUACCAUUCGAAGCAGCAAAUAUAUGAAAGUAUUAAGAGUGGAUCAAUUGUAAUAUAUAUUCGAAAUUUUUAGUUACUUUUCAAUUCUGAUUUCUUUCUCUUCGUUAUCGAAGAAAGAAGAAAAGAAGAAUCUUAUUACUUCUCAAAUUUUCUCAUUAAAUAAUACAAAUUCCGAAAAUAAUAGUAGCCAUCCAACAGCGAGCAAACAACACGCCUAACAAAUCCAAUAAAGCAUGAAUCCAACGUGAACGAACCGGUAUAAAUAAAGUAAAACCCUGCAUCGUCUCCAAGAUAGACCCUUAAGCACGGGAUGUGCAACGUGUCAAUCUCGUGUGCACACCAAUUUCGUUGAUUAAAGCGCGCCUUCAUCGGUGAUAUCCUUCAUUAAUCUAUCGCUUCGGGUCGAGAGAAUCGCAUUCCGCACGAUGUGUGUCUCUGCCGGUCGAAGAAGAAUCGGAUGCGUUAAGGCACAUUCUCACUGGCCAGUCAGCCGCGAAGCGCUCCAAUCCUGACCCAUCCUUGCCAUCAAUAUACGAUUCAUUUCAUUGCCGUCCAUCCUUGGGCAAAUCCCCCCAUCCUCUCGAAAUAUUUUUCGCGCGCAUCCAUUCGUUUCACUUUUAACUUGAGAUCAUCCUAACCUCGAUAAUUUGCCGCGUGAUGUAUGGCAAACGCGACUAAACGCGUUCGUCGAUAUCCUUUUACUCCUUCCUCGUUCCCUUUCCAUCAUCCUUCCAAUGAUUUCCCUUCCCCCACCCGUCACGAACCUGUUACUCGUUCAACAGGCAUAUGUGCUGUGUUGCUUAUUACGCGUUGCCUCGCUUCAAUUUGUACCCGCUGCGAAGGAUUUCUUGGAAGGUUGAGCAGCGCACGGAAGUCGAGUAGAAACUGAAAUUGGAAGUGGGCGAAGAGGACUGUCUGACAGAAGUUGAAAAAAUCGGAUAGAUUGUGGAUUAUGAAAGUGAACGGGUCCAUUUCGUUUCGAAAGAGGUUUUCGAAAGAGGUGUCAAUGUAUUUCCAAAUUCACAAAUGCGUUCACAGAAUUACAUAUUAUCGUGUAACCGCUAUGAUGUAAUUGUUGACUGGACAGAAAAUAAUAAAUAAAAAUUUAGCUGAACGAAGAUAUUUGAUUAUACGUAAUUGUGCGUUUGCAAAACAUUUCAAGCAUGCGUAUUGAAGAAGGUUGAAUAAUAAAAGCACAAAUAAAAUUUCAGUGAACUUUAAAUUCUAUAACGAUACUUAUCGGGCAUAACUCAACAAUUCUCGUUAAUCAGUUUCGUGUGUAUUGGACGGUAUAUGGUCGGUGGGAACGCACCCUUAUAUCGGAAGCGAUGCAAGAAGCAGGGCGAGGCGCAUCGUAUCGCAUCUGCGUGCUCUCUUUAAAGGCGUUGGGCGUUCACCCCGACCUCGCCAGCCCGGUGCAACUGGUUCAAAUGCAUAUUGCCUAGCGCCGAGGUGCACUACUGGUAGCCUCCUCUCUUUCUCUCUCUCUCUUUCUCUCUCUCUCCCCCCUCCUUCCCGUAAUAUCUCUCCACUUAAUGGAGACCUGCGAUUCUGGACCUGCGCAACCUCGUUCUGUCUGCGCGCAACCCACUCUGGCUUUAUUUUGACAUUUACUGUCUAAUCGUUGGCUGAUUCUGCAUAGAUGACCGCAAAUCAAAUCGCGAGGUUGAUGGAGUAUGGCGAACGUGUUUCCGCGCUCGAGCCACGCGAAUCAAUAAUUGGUUGGCACGUAACAUGCGCGACGUUUGUAAAUUGAAUGCCGCCUUUUGUGACGGAAUUUUAAUUGACAAGUUGUCGCUUGUUUGAUAGCGUGGUUACCUUUGUGGAUAAUCAGGAUCGGUGUGAGAAGGAGGGACGAACGGGAAGGAGGAAUAAUGACGACAAAAUAAGAGAAACGUAUUAAUAGAGGCUCGUGUGCGAUGGAAACAAGACGAAUAAUCGAGAGGUAAAUUAGGUAUUAUUGGUGGACGGUUUAAUUUGAUGGGUUGUUUUUAUGGAUAGUUUGAAAUUUAAUGUUUUUGAGAUAUAUAUAAACAUUGCUAAUUGAUAUUGAUAAAGAAUACUUUUAUUUAUUAUCCUUUCGUGAUAUAAUUAUUAAUGCUAGUUUCAAGCAUGAUUUUCAAAAUUAACAAAAUAUAUAUUUCGUAGAAAGAUAUAAUGAUUCGAGUGUUGCGUAGAGUAAAAAAGUAUUAAAAUGAAUAUUAAUUAUAUAAUAUAGGGUAUUGGUAGUUAAUGGUCAUGUGGCGCUAGUAUCGGCGUGUAUGGUCGCCGUGAUAUGUAAUAAGGAUAAUUUAAGUAAUUAUACGAAUUUGAAAUUCUACAUAAAGAUAAUAUUUUAAUAUUUAUUUAGAGAAUCGAUUUUAAAGAUUCUAUCAAAAACGAAAAUCGAUUAAAGUUUAUUUUUAUUAUCAUUUUAAGAUCAUUAUCUAUAUUUUUAUUCUACCACGAUUAAAAAUCAAUCAAAGUUCUUUUCUCAUCCCAAAUAUUUGCUCCUGUAAUUGAAAUUCAAGAGAAUUUUCAAACAAAGGGCUUUGUCUCCGUUUAGUAUAAAUUUCCUUUUUAACGAUCGGUACCAGCAAAGCGCGGACUAUGCAACGAACAUAUGGUACUUUUCUGAUUGCACCGCCGCCACAAUUUCUUAGUUUAACCCUCUCUUCGCUAAUGGAUGCAAAAGGAUAAUGGCGGGGUAGCGCCGCUUCUGUGGAUUAUCGCAUAACAGAAGCAAGAAAGGGACGGAUGACCAUUAAUGGUACAGUGCCCCUCUCCUCUCCCCUUCCCUUCGAUAGUCUGCUUUUGUUUUAUCGGUACAAUUGCAAGUGGCCGCCGCGCAAAAACAACUACGAUCUGUAAUGUAUACCUUCGAACACAUGUGCUGAUCAUUGAUGAGAACGAUAAAGUCGAUAUACCGAUUCUGGAACGAGCGUGGGCAGUAUUUCGAACACGAUAAACGCCUUGUUCCGUUUUAAAUGUUUCGCAAUACUGGUUACGAUGAAUUUUCAGUAGGAAGGAAUUUCAGCGCGAUAAACAUCCUCGCGAACAGAUUCUUUUUCCACCAAAAUAUUUAUUUUAGAAUUCGUUGUUUAAAAUAUAUUUAAGAAAAAAAAUUCCGAAAUUUCUUUUCCAGAAAAUUCCUCAAAUUUUCAAAUUUAAAGAACUUUUCUUGAUUAGUUGGAUAACCUCGCUUCAAAUGUUGUAGGCAUUAUCGUUAACACGCUUGUUCACCAAUGAAAAAUCGCUCGUUUUAUUCGAUCAAAUCCGCCAUUAAAGUGGUCGACCGAAUCCAGGUAUUCGUAAGUAAGCGCGGAUAGCCGGCUUACAGGGGCAUAAGCACGGCGCAUGCCUGGAGCAACGUCGGCGGUUUUUCUGGUUCGCGAGGACCAGAAAGAAGUUGGCCGCAAUUAACGGCUCCGUAAAUUUACAUACGUCGGCGAUCGGCGGGGAUAAAUGGUCAGAAGUCGUCCUACGCCGCGUACCGACCGAACCUCCGGAUAAGUAAUCGCGUAAAUCUUCGACAGACAAAAAAAGGGCGGAUGUUGGUUUGAAAAGGGAACAAUUUCGUAAUUCGACGAUUGAUUUUCAGUGAUUUAUCUUCGGUUGAGAAUUAUCUUAUCUGUUUUUUUGACGAAACGAACCACAUCUUGAGAUAUCCUUUUCGAAUUUCUUGGGAUGUCGUUAAAAAUUUCUUUGAAAAUGGAAAUUUUAAAUGUAACUUGAUUUUUAAUCGCUACUUUUUUCAGGUUUUUAUAUAAAUAUAUAAAAAUAAUUUUCUUCUAAAUUAACUUCUUCGGUUAUAUUGUUAUAUCUAAUAGUUGUAUCUUAAUUUUGAAUUAAGAUACCUCAUUUUAUGCCAGUAACAAUUUACGUUAUCAUGUAUUAACCGUUUUAUCAAGUUUAUGGUGAGUUUGCAAAUAAUGUGUAGAUGUUUCAUAAGAUUCGAUAAGAAAGUUUUUCUUUUUUUUUUUUGUUUUGAAAGUAACGUUAUUUUUUUCCGUUGUAAUAUCUUGUUAUCAAGAAAACAAUGAUUCAUAAUAUGUGCUGUGAUAAUGUUUAGGGAAAUUGUCACGUUUAAUUCUGAUAAUACAUGUACAAAUAGAAUUAAAAAAUAAUGAAUUGAAAUAAAAUGCAAUCUCGAUAUGCAUUUUAUUUAUCAAAAUUACAAAUACAAAGAAAUUGUAAAAACAUAAAUAACAUGCUACUACAUGCUUAUUGUAUAAAGUCGAUUGAAAAUGUUUAUCACAGUUGAACAUCAUAAUCGUUAUUAUCAUAAUCAUAAUUGAUCUCGUUUCUGAUAUAAGGAUAAGGUUCUGUUUUAAUCAGAUCUAUAUUUAAUUCAAUUCGCUUCUAGAUAAUUCUAUCUUCUUCGUGUUAAUUCCUGUUAAAAUUAAAUUUCAACAAUCUGAUCAUCAAAACAAACAAUUAAAAUCCACAACAACAUUAUACAAUAUAAAAUAAUAAAGCAGUAUCAAAAAGUCUCACAACGAGCGUCUUCGACAAAAAACAUUUUUUAAUAAUAAAAUCAACUUUGUUCAGAAUUAAAUUUGUAAUGCACUUUCGAAAGACACGAUCCAUGCAGCGCGUAAAAAUUAAGAAAAAAAAAAGAUACGACACACAGCGUCAUUUUCAAUAUACCGAAACGUUUUUCCUGAAAUUUUUCUAACUUGAAUCGACUGCCGCGAACGAGAGCAAAAAGACAGCUCUCUCUGAGUGCAGCAGGAUCAGACCGAUCGAGAGUAGUCACGUCGAAGUCUCAUCGACGAAGAGUAAGGGACCACCUUGCCGCAGGGGUUGAGAAAGAGAGUCAAGAGAUUCGCUUACGGAAUGGUAGAAGUCUACCUACCGCGGUUCAGCUGAUUGCGAAAAUAAACAUUCAUUAUUGUAAUUACUUUCUGCGACGUGGCCGUGCCGAGAGCCAGGACGAGGGGAAGGAAACGGUGGAGAACGAGGAGACUGGGGGAGGGGGCACGAGGAGGAACGAGGAAGACGCGCCAACCUCGAGCAAUCUCUCUCCAACCGUAUAGUAUAUAUGUAUAUAGUAUGUAUAUAUAUCUGUAACGAGAGUUUCAUUGACGUGGUCGUCGUGGCGGGUUAAUUACAAAGUCGAACCGACGAUUCCUUCAUUAGCGAAAAGGAAUCGGUGAAUCCAAUUGGCGUGAGUCGGGGCGAGACGAAUCCUCGUUUGCAUCCGUUCGAACCGUUCUCCCGGGCCCCGAACGAUGCGUCUUCAUGCGACAUGGAUGGAUGGAAAAAAGAUUCGAUUCGUGGGGACCCUGUGAUUGAUCUGCUUUCGACCAUCCGCCUUCAUUGCAAGAAAUCCUACGGUUCCAGCUUUAAUUACCAUCCAAGGAUUUAUUUGUGAAACUUGUUAAUGGGGAGGCGAUCAAUGGAACGUUUGAGAUCGAGGUCGAUUCGGUGUGCAGUUCGUAGUUCGGGGGAGAGAAAAGUUUCUUUUUUUUAAAUGUUGUUUUGCGUCUAACAUGGAAGGAAAGCGACAUAACCUCAAAAUUGUGAAUCUCGUCGUUUUGUGAUCUCUGAAAUUAAUACUGAAUAUUUCUGUAAUUCUUGUGACAUGGGAUGUUACAAGGAUUGGAAUAUGUUUCUCAGAGUUGUUUAAUUUAAAAGGACGAUGACCUAACCUCAAAAUUGAGGUUUAUCGUUAAUCUAGGAGGAUUGGAUGAGGCGAGCAAGCGUGAAAAGUGAUGAUAAGUAAUGAGUGAUAAAUGGAUAAUUGUGAAAAACUAGCCUUUCUGAAAUUUAUCGUUUCCCAUUAAUAACGAUAUUUAUAGUUUAUAAUAAUGAUUUUCGUGUUUCGCUACGACGAAAUUUAUCAUCGCGCGUGAAUGAGUGAAUAGAUUUGCGCAGUUUAUAUUUGCAAUAAUUUAUAAUAUAAUUUAUAAUAAUAAAAUCUUCGUUUCUCGAAUCGGAAUAAAAAGCUGUAAUGAUACGAUUGGCAGAAACGAGUAACGAGUUCAUUAUUAUAUAGCGAGUGUUUACGUAAAUUGAUUACGGGAUCCUCGGCUUUUUUGUGCUGCAAUAAUACUCUGUUUUAUUGGAUUAUAUAUCUGUAUCUGGUCGAGAUGCAACGGAGUGCGGUACAAAUUGAAUAUGUAUUCACGUGAUUCAUGGUCUGGAACAUUGCGAUAACGUAUCACAGCUUGACAGCCUGUCGCAGUAGGUCAUUAAUAACUUAUUGCAUUGGGCGAAAUGAGCAAGGUUCGUGUUUCUGUGGCAACUUUUGAAAAAUGAAGAUGAUACAUCGGAAACGAAACGAAAUCAGUGAAUAUAAAUAUAUAUAUAUUCAUUCACUAUUUUAUUUUUGAAUUAUUCAGAUUGUUCUGAUAAAACUGAUGUUGUAAAAAUUAUUAUAAUUUUUACAAUUUCCAAUAUAUUUUUAUUAUAUUUUAUACAUUAUACGAAUGAUAUUACGUAUCAUAAAUGCAACAGUUUUCUUUCUUUCCUUAUAAUUUACUACGUAUCGUUUCACACAUUCCAGCGGAUAAUUAAUACGUUGAUUGGUACAAUGAUUCAUCGAAAACCGUGUUCUAUUAAUUAUAAUAUAACAUUGUUAUGGAAACUAUAUAAUUUGUGUAACGAAGAGAUUCAUAAUUAUAGGAGCGUCUAUUAAAUUUGUUCUAAUCGCUUCAUUUCACAUUUUCAUUUGCAUUCUUUACUACGAAAUUUGCACGCUAAUGUAUAUUUAAUCUCCUGUCUAAUUGCAAGCACAGUUUCGAUUCAUAUUUGCAUAAAGAAUUAUUCCGUUUCUUUUACACAGAAAUACGGAUUCGGUUUAUGAUACAACGCCGGUUCCCGGGCUAUUUUUAAGAUGCAGAGUUCGAGAUGCUUUUUUUAUCUCAGUACGUUCCAAUUCCAAAGAUUCUACAUACUGAUUGAACGGGAAAAAAAAUUAUCGGAAUUCUUUCAAGGAAAAAAAAAAUUUUCCAAAUUUCUAUUCUCGUAUUCUGUGCAUAUAAUAAUUUAUCCAAAUAUUUCAAACUUUCCAUUUACUAAUUUAAAAAAAAAACAUUCAUAUUAAAACAAUAAUAAAUUCGUUUUUCAAAGAUUUUACACAUGAUUGAACAGGAGAAAAGAUUAUCGGAAUUUUUUCGAGAAAAAAAGAAAGGAAAACGUCAUUUUCCAAAUUUCUAUUCUUAUAUUCUGUAACAUCCAAAUAUUUAAAUUUUCUUCUUAUUAAUUUUUUUCUUGAAAAAAAUUCCAUGUUUAAACAUUCAUAAUAAAACAAUAAUAAAUUCAUUUUCCAAAGGUUCUACAUACUGAUUGAAUAGGAAAAAGAAUUAUCGGAAUUCUUUCGAGAAAAAGAGAAAGGAAAACGUCAUUUUUCAAAUUUCUCAUCUUAUAUUCUGUACAUGCAACAUCCAAGUAUUAAUAAACUUCAAUUUUUUCCUUCUUCCUUCAACUUCCUAAAACCUUCCUUUCACCUUCACAUUCAUAUUAAUUUUAUUCUCAUUUCCAAGAUAAACUUACGCGAAAUCGUAGAAAUUAAAAGGAGCGAGGGAUGAGUCGCUGUCUAAGAGUCAGUCUGGAUUUAAGAUCGGUUCUGGAGAGGUGAAAAGGAAAAAGGGGCGGCCCGGCCCGGAUCGCGCCGGAUAAACCCCGCGUCUGGCGUGCACACUGCCGUGAAUUAAUUAUCACCCGUGGGCCCCGUGUUCGUACUUUUAAUCGGCCUGGCCCCGACCCCACGGCCCACCUCGUGCCUCGUUUCCACCUAUAAAAUGUUCCCUGUGCGGCAGUAUUUCACGCCUGUCCACGCGCGCCCUUUACGCCACGGGUAUAACGCGACAGCCGAAGGGAUCUCUCUUUCUCUCUCUUCGACGAAGAGAAAGAGGAGAACUUCUUCUUCUUCUUCUUUUCUUCCUCCUCUUCUUCUUCUUCUUCUUCCAUUCCUCGGCUCGAUGUCCCCGUGACUCGUUACAGGUGCACGAGGUUCACGGGUUUGCGCCCAAUGUUCGCAAUAUUGUACGGUUAUGCGCGGCGUUAACGCGGCCGCUUGUCCACGGCUCGUGUCGCGUUUAUGCGAGCGACUGGCCGUUGGAGUCACGGUUGUGCUCGUUUGCCCGGACCGAUCGAGAUAAUCGACGUUGUUCGUGUCUUUUGGAAGGAUGGCUGCAUUUGGCAAUCCUUGGGCGAGGAUUCUUAGGUUCCUUGGACGAAUAAGCGUGAGAAAAUUUAUUGGUUUAAUCGUAGAUUGGGUUAUAAUUGGAACAAUUUUGCAGUGACGAUAAUUGUAUUAUAUUAAGAGAGAUCAAUGCAUUUGGAGAUAAUUUUAUGUGAUAUUCGUGAAUAUUUAUAACUGAUAUGACGCUUGUUUCGUUAGUUCAAAAGAUCCUGUAUAUUGGUGAAUAUCGUUUGUAAAAGAAAAAGAGGGAAUUUUUGGAAAAAUUUAAUGGGUAGAAAAUAAGGAUGCGUUUAUAACGGUUUCUUUCAAAGUUGGCGCCUUCACCACAGGUAUCGAUUCGUUCUUGUAAAACGGAUUUCGUUUUAAUAGGCAGUUGCUAUGGGAUAAACGGGAACAAUAUUACCCUUGAUCGCUUGGACAUGACUGAGAAAAUCGAGCGCGAUUACGUGCAAUCCGCUGCUGAUCUACUUGAAACCGAAUGCGGUAACAAAUUGAUAGGAAACUCCUUUUACGGCUAAUGGUGGUACACGACGAAAGAUCCCUCUCUCUUCUUUUUUUUUUUCUCCUCUGGUAAAUGGGUAUGAUCGAGAAUCAUGUUCCUUUCUAUCGAUAUACGUAGUUCGAAGCAAACAGAUAUAGAUUCCUUUUUGAUAAGUAAUCGUUCCAGCGAAAUAAAAAAAUCUUAUGAUAUGUGCAUUGCAAAAUAUAUUAACAUUAAAUUUUCAAGUAGAAAAUUUAUAAUUGUCAACUUAAUCGAAACUGUUGGUGGUAUAACUGGUGAAGCGACACUAGCGCCACGUGACUAUUAACUACUAAUAUCCGAUAUAUGAUCAAAAUAUGUUACCUAUCUAUUUAUGUAUAUAUUUUCUUUUUUUAAUUUGUUUUAUUUUUUCAAAUAAUAUAUUUUUCUGUAUGAAAACACGAAAAAAUAAAUCCAAUCAAAUCAAUCAAAAUUAUGAAACGUUCUCACGACGAUAUACGUAUGUACAUAUAUUUUUCUUUCUUUUUUCUCACCCGUUAAUAUCAGACUCUUCCAAUAGAAGCCCUUUUAAAUCACCUUCCUCGAAGUGGUAGAAGUCUCGUUUACCUUUCUAUCGCUCACAAUCUCUCGCCAAUCGGAAUUCCCCAUUGAUAUUCAAUCGAAAGUGUGUCGAACCGAAAGUGACACCUCGGUUGAGAAAAAUCGGCUUCAUGGAGGCUCUCAUCUAGCACAUGCUAGCACAUGCGGUUAUUUCGAACCAAGGGACCCUAGGGAAUGCAGUUGUACCGGUCUCUCGUUCUGAUAUUCUGCGUUUCAAUCCGGUAACACGCGCCGAUAUCAUUCCUCAUACCGGUCCGUGUAAUCGUUAAAUCGAUUGAAAAAUCCCGAGAUUUUAUUAUAUUGGGCUGGUGAAGUUAUAGUAUUGGAAAGUUAUAUAUCGGUUAUUAUAUUGAAUAUCGAAGUUGUUACAGCAGAAAACUUAUGUUUUCCGAUUCUUGUAUGAUAAUCCUGGGAUAAUGAAUGAAUAUUUCGAGCACAAUUAAACUUCGUAACACGAGACUAAAAUAUCAAUAACCGAAGAUCGUAUACCGAUAAAGAUAAUGUAAGAUAUAUUAUGAUAAGAAAAGAGGAAUAAAAGGGGAAUGAUACGUUUCUUCUCUAUUCUCUGAGAAUUUUUUUUUUCCAACAACGAGCUUGUAAAUAACGAAGAUAAACGAUUAAUUAAAUACAAAUACAGAGGCAAUAACUUUUUUCUUUUUCGUAAAAUGUGAAACUCUUCUCGUCAAUGCCUCGACAAAUCUAUUCCAAGGUUGAAACGACGACCAAAAAAAAAAAGAAAAAAGGAAUUCUCCGUGGAAUAAUCUCACGGAUUCAGAUCAUAAAUCGAGCGAUCGUUUACGAGCGCGAAGGCUCGAUAAAAGCGGAAAAAUUUCCAGGGAAAUAAUCGUUACCAUAUGGAAGAUGAAUGGCACGGUUCACAAUCAUUAUCCGAUAUCGGUACAAAGCAUCGAAGAAACUGCAUCGGCAAACAUUUAGCAUCGGUCGUAUCGGGGAAACAGGAUAUUCGUUCGACUAGAUACUCUCGCAUCGCUGCCUCGCGAUAAUCUUAUCAAAGUGUAAAAACUAAUAGCGGAAUACAAAGUGCGAUCACAUCGCUUGUAAAUCGGUUAAAACGAUUUUCAAGAGGAAAGGAACUUCGAUCGAGUGUAUUCCCUUUUUAUUACGCGAUAUUUCAUUUAUACGAUCAACGUUUUUCAAUCGAUAUUUUUCUUUUUUUUUUGCUAAUUUGUCCAUACAUUGAUCCCUCCCCUCCCCUUCCUCGAUCCUGCUCGAUAUAUUUAAUUCCUUCUUAUCGAGUACAUUUUCAAACCAUCUCAAACUAUCUUUUAUUUUUACUUCUUUUACUUUUCUUAAUCUAACACAAGAUAUAUUUCUAGAAGCUUUUAUUUUUUUCCGAACACUUUAAUCGAUCAUCGAUCGUACCAUGCAAAAUAGAACAAGUAUGCGAAAAAGAAACUGGAAUAUUUCAUCACAAGAAUACUCAAGAUAUUUGCGCGUAACUCCAUUCGAUCCAAAAUCCCACACCGGUUAUAUUAUCCACGCGAUCGAUUCGAUUGCACCACUGCAAACACUCGUACGAAAUAUCGUAGAGCACGUUGUUACAGUCCACGUUGAUCGCGUUCACGGUAAAUCAACGCGUGUCGAAGAUAAACGUAUGUCCCCGCAUUGUCUCCCCCGUUCUUACCGAUCUAUUAUUCCGUGUACCGCCAUUAUCCACCUGCAACCACAUUCGAAAUUGCGUGCGCACGCAGCAAGAAAUGGGCACGGAUCGUGGCAAUUAAUCCAGCCUAGAUGAACGAUCGGCUCGAGUUUCAGAGAGCAAGAAUUUACAUUUCGCUCCUCUUGAUCCCCGGAUCACGCCGCACUCGAAUAACGAAGAUAGGAAAAAUUCGAUAAACCGAUCGUUCUAUUAUAAUUAUCCGGGCAAAAUGUAAUACAGCGGAUUUAUAUCGGCAAUUUUAUUGGAUCGGCAAUUAGUUAGGUACGAAGUGAUCGUCGUCUCUCCCACGGGUCGAGGAAACACGCGCUACCGUACUUGGUUUGCGAGGAGCGUGUGAAUCGAUUUUGAGAACGAUACUGGUUGAAAACGAGCUCUGUGGAGAAAAAUAUAUCGAAUCAAUUCCAUCGAGAACGCCUCAUUAAAGAAAAAAGGGAAAGUUUCAAUAUUCCAAUCAGAAUAUCAAAUCGCAUUUAUUCUAAUCGUCACCUCGUAUUAUGUACUUUCAUUGAGAAUUGAAGAGAGACUAUUUCAGAUCGAAUCAAUAUUCCCCUUCAUCCGCCAAGCUUAAUAGAUCGAGGAAGCAUCUCGAGGAUACCAUAUUGAAUUAACGAAAUAUUGGCCGGCAUUAGCCUGGCAAUAUCUGAGGCGAUGCCGUAAUUUGUCUAGGCUGGAUAGAUAUAACCGUCAGAGGGGGGUUAUUAAUUCACCUUUUAUGCAAUCCUUGCAUCCUCAUCGCGACCUUUGAUUUUCAAACCUCACACGACACCUCUCCAACACGUGUCCGUUCACGCACACGUACAUUUACACACGAUUUUAAGGUCGAUUCGCCGCUAGAUACCGCCAGUGGGUGGUCACGUUCGCUAUUUAAUUAAUUGAAAUGUUCGGUAGCCAAGAGUCGUUACACUCGUCGUGAUCGAACGCAACUCGUAACGUUGUGGAAAACGUUCCCCUUCUGGUAUAUUAAUUAGGCGGCUACCUGCUCGAGGAUCCUGCCAGCAAUUUGUCUUGAUAUGCCUUGGUAAAAUACUAAUUUCGUCCGCGAUCCGUUUCGAGAAUUCCCCAAUGGAUCUUUCUUGAUCGCGUGUGUGUUGCGCGGUGGUUGCUCGCCUCUCGGAGGGGAGAUAUCGCGAUACGUUGUCGAUCGGUUGUCGGCCGAUUCAUGUCGGUGGUGUGUCGGUGUGGAGACGUAUAUAGAUCCUAGAGAAGUCGAGAGUGGAUCUUGUUUAAUUAAUCGAAUCAAUGGGGGUAUAUAGGCCCGGUUGCCUAGGAUCUUUAAUGUUACAUCGAGUCGAGUCGAGUCGCGUGUGUUAGCAGACCGAGUUACGCUCUGGAAGAUGUUGCUUAAUUCGAGGUGAUAUAUUGGUCGAGCGAUGCUAAUUAGGAACCUCGUUCGAUUCGCGAUGAUGCGUUUCUUUCUUGUUCUUGUUCGCGUGUGUGUAUCUUAUAUGCUUUCCACCUCGCUUCGUGAUUCGAUCGAUGAGUUGCGUUAAUUUGUUCGCGAGAGAAGGACACGUCGGUCUAGGUACAGAUGCACGAGCAAUUUAUUUCGAUGACUUUUUUCCAUCGAUAAGAAUUUUUACCCCGAAUAAAAGAAAAGUAUCCUUCAUUUCUUCUUUCGACGAAUUUCUCAAAAUUUUCGAAAAGUACCAAAGUACCAAAGAAUCGUUUAAAACAGAUAGAAAAAGAAGGAAAGAGAGAGUGGAGGGGAAAAGGACGAAUCGCACGCACGAUUUAUCAAAUAUAAAAAGAGAAAAGGCUCUCCUCGUGUCCGUCGCUUCCACUUAAAAAUCAUCGUUGCAGUAGAUUGCGCCGCUCGACGUCAGACUUCCGCGUCAUGUAUCAAACUGCGUAUAAGAGUAAGAGAGAGAGAGAGAGAGGGAGAAGGAGAAUUUUUAUCAAGUUUUUCAAGCGGUGGAUCGACUUUAUCCGCUCGUACGUGGUCCAGAUCACGCUCAGAUAUGCCGGUGCCCGGUAAUGAAGGUACGUUUUAGUGACGUUCGCGAUAUACGUCGCAAACCGCCUCGUUAAUUAACCGGCCGGAACUCGAGCGCCAUCACCGCGUGCUAGUAAAGCAAUUAUUUAUUGGCAUGUAUGGGCGACCCUUUCUGUCCAACCGCUUAACUGACCAUACGUUUCUAGCAUACGACGACAAGUACUACGAUCGUUGGAUGGGGAGGGGAGGGAACACGGUGAACACGUUUCGUCCAACACGCUUCUUUUUUUUCUUUCUUUUCCGGAAAUUACGCAUACGAUAAUAGAUACGCGUGCAAACCUCCUCCUUUUAUCGGUCACGCACAUAAUUGUUCUCGAUUUUCUAUGUCUCUAUCGGCUGGAGUAGACUCCGCUUUUUGCGACCGUCCUCGGCGAGCGGGGCAAUUUAUUACCGCGCAAGUAUUUAAAGUAUUUCUUGCGUCCGGCCGCUCUUCCGACGGAAUUAUUGGAAAGAAUUGGGUGUUGAGUCGAUACGCGUUUCUUGCGUGUUCUUCGUAAUAUAUUGGCUCAUCGGUCGAUUCGAUUUUAGUUGGAAAGAUUUUUUAGUAAUAGAUAUCACGUAUAGAAUUUUAACUAUUUUAGCGUGCGAUUGGAAUAAUAAAUUUAUCUGGAAAUAUUAAUUAAUUUUACUUUAAUAUAAGUGCAAGUUCAAAAAGUGUUUGGUUAACUAUUGGAGUGUUCUCGUGGGAGGAGCUUUGGUUUAAUUUAGUGCCAGCUCGAUAACGCUAUUGGUAACCCGUCUUGGAACGUUUCUGAAAAAGAUAUACUUCAGAGGAUCUCAAAAUUAGUUUCACGAUUUGACAUUGACUGUGUUAUUGAUCAUCGAUCAUCAUAAAUGAAAUAAUUUAUUGUUUUUUCUAUGUGCUUCGAAAGUUUUUUAUCAAUAAAAUUGAAAUUAAUUCUU
This is a long non-coding RNA of Apis cerana (Asiatic honeybee), 21410 nucleotides long. RefSeq lists it as uncharacterized. The record is from RefSeq and is a predicted model, not a curated record. NCBI's taxonomy places the organism in Eukaryota, Metazoa, Arthropoda, Insecta, Hymenoptera, Apidae.